GAUGAACGCUAGCGAUAGGCUUAACACAUGCAAGUCGAAGGGCAACAUGAUCUUAGCUUGCUAAGCUUGAUGGCGACUGGCGCACGGGUGCGUAACGCGUAUGCAACUUGCCUCUCAGAAGGGGAUAACCCGUUGAAAGACGGACUAAUACCGCGUACAUUCCAUCUUUGGCAGCUAAGGAAGAUGAAAGGGAAAUCGCUGUGAGAUGGGCAUGCGUCUCAUUAGCUGGUGGGUGAGGUAACGGCCCACCAAGGCGACGAUGAGUAGGGGUACUGAGAGGUAGAUCCCCCACAUUGGAACUGGGACACGGACCACACUACUACGGGAGGCAGCAGUGGGGGAUAUUGAUCAAUGGGCGAGAGCCUGAACCAGCCAAGUCGCGUGAAGGAUGACUGUCUUAUGGAUUGUAACCUUCUUUUAUACGGGAAUAACAAGAGUCACGUGUGACGCACUGCAGGUACCGUAUGAAUAAGCACCGGCUAACUCCGUG
RNAcentral lists this ribosomal RNA (490 nucleotides) under uncultured bacterium. RNAcentral describes it as "partial 16S ribosomal RNA". It matches the Rfam family "Bacterial small subunit ribosomal RNA", at positions 28 to 507 of the family's 1533-position model. The record is from RNAcentral.